CCUACGGGAGGCAGCAGUGAGGAAUAUUGGUCAAUGGACGAGAGUCUGAACCAGCCAAGUAGCGUGAAGGAUGACUGCCCUAUGGGUUGUAAACUUCUUUUAUAUGGGAAUAAAACGUUCCACGUGUGGGAUUUUGUAUGUACCAUAUGAAUAAGGAUCGGCUAACUCCGUGCCAGCAGCCGCGGUAAUACGGAGGAUCCGAGCGUUAUCCGGAUUUAUUGGGUUUAAAGGGAGCGUAGGUGGAUUGUUAAGUCAGUUGUGAAAGUUUGCGGCUCAACCGUAAAAUUGCAGUUGAAACUGGCAGUCUUGAGUACAGUAGAGGUGAGCGGAAUUCGUGGUGUAGCGGUGAAAUGCUUAGAUAUCACGAAGAACUCCGAUGGCGAAGGCAGUUCACUGGACUGCAACUGACACUGAGGCUCGAAAGUGUGGGUAUCAAACAGGAUUAGAUACCCUGGUAGUC
This 460-nucleotide ribosomal RNA is filed under the name uncultured bacterium. RNAcentral describes it as "partial 16S ribosomal RNA". It matches the Rfam family "Bacterial small subunit ribosomal RNA", at positions 338 to 795 of the family's 1533-position model. The record is from RNAcentral.